Small nuclear RNA from Ictidomys tridecemlineatus (thirteen-lined ground squirrel), 150 nucleotides. Its record names the gene U12. It matches the Rfam family "U12 minor spliceosomal RNA". Rfam says of the family: Although the U12 sequence is very divergent from that of U2, the two are functionally analogous. NCBI's taxonomy places the organism in Eukaryota, Metazoa, Chordata, Mammalia, Rodentia, Sciuridae. The record is from Ensembl.
AUACCUUAUACUUAUGAGGAUGGAAAAUAACAAUUUGGGAUGAUGCCUGAAUCCUCACUGCUAAUUUGAGACAAAUUUUUGAGCAAGUAAAGGCUGCUCUUAAAGCGACACCUUUACUUUGCAGGAUUCAUGGGAGUUGUGAUCUGCCUG